GGAGGGUGCGAGCGUUAAUCGGAAUUACUGGGCGUAAAGCGCGCGUAGGCGGCUUGGUCAGUCGGAUGUGAAAGCCCCGGGCUUAACCUGGGAAUUGCAUUCGAUACUGCCUGGCUAGAGUAUGGUAGAGGGAAGUGGAAUUUCCGGUGUAGCGGUGAAAUGCGUAGAUAUCGGAAGGAACACCAGUGGCGAAGGCGGCUUCCUGGACCAAUACUGACGCUCAGGUGCGAAAGCGUGGGGAGCGAACAGGGAUUAGAUACCCUGGUAGUCCACGCCGUAAACGAUGAGAACUAGAUGUUGGGAGGAUUUGCCUUUCAGUGUCGCAGCUAACGCGUUAAGUUCUCCGCCUGGGGAGUACGGCCGCAAGGUUG
Molecule: ribosomal RNA, 371 nt
Filed under: uncultured organism
Description: partial 16S ribosomal RNA
Rfam family: Bacterial small subunit ribosomal RNA
Source: RNAcentral